AGAAAAUCAAGUUCCAGCCUUGUCCUGUUCAUCCUUCUCCUUGGCAAAUUUCUUGGCAAGUUCAGCAGCAAUCAGAUUUUCAGCCAUCAGUGCAUUCCCAGCAGCAGCAUACUUAGAAUCAGUUCCAGCAGCUUCCUUCAGUGCAUCCAAAGCUGUCCUAGGCCUUGGACUUUCUGUGGCAUCAUCUUCUGAAGUGAAAGUUGCCUUGACAUCAGAUGAACCACCAG
Molecule: long non-coding RNA, 227 nt
Filed under: Daucus carota (carrot)
Lineage: Eukaryota; Viridiplantae; Streptophyta; Magnoliopsida; Apiales; Apiaceae
Description: long non-coding RNA (DCAR_LNC000434)
Source: RNAcentral